Drosophila innubila is the source of this 1172-nucleotide long non-coding RNA. RefSeq lists it as uncharacterized. The transcript has 2 exons. The record is from RefSeq and is a predicted model, not a curated record. Lineage: Eukaryota; Metazoa; Arthropoda; Insecta; Diptera; Drosophilidae.
AGCAGCUGCCACAUUGCAUAUGGCACGUGAGGUAUUUCAUUUAAUUUUGGAUAAUUUUAUGGCAAGAAAAGACACGCAACAUGGUUUAUGUUAACAACCAACAACCGACAACGGACAACUGAACAGAACAAGUUUGUUAGCUGCUUUUGGGCCAUUGAUUAAAUGGGCUUAAAGCAUUGACUAAUGAUGACUGAAGAUUGGGAGGCGCGUUAGAGCGCAUAAUUCGACUAACCAAUGGCUGAAUGUUUCUUGUACUAUCGGGAAUGUGCCACAUCAUGUUGAAGGUUAGCUACUACGAGUUGCUUCCUUGGCCGUCAUCCAACUACAUGGCCCCAAUCUUGAGCCUGGACAAUUGUCAAUUGCAGAGCAUUUUCAUGUUGUCAGCGGGUUGCUAAAGUUGAGGGUGGGUAGUGUGCACCACUUCAGCUCCACUUUUGGGCUGCUAGCCAUAAAUCAUUUGUAAGGCUGAACGAACGAUGACGACGAAAAUGUCAAGCACAGGAUGCGCUAAAGGACAACGGAGCAAGGCGUUGCAGCGCCUUUACACGUGAUGGACAUUCAGGCCUUGUGGCAAUAGUACACACACACACACACACAAACACACAUACUUACACAUAUAGAGAGCAGACACUGUCCUGUGCCUGCAAGGAUAAUGACGCGCAAAUCGAGCCCAUCAUCAGUCGUCUUCGCUGUCUUUGGCGUUGUCUCUGCUUUGUUUCAUGUUGUUAUGCUUUGCUUUUAGUUGCCUCUAUUAUCCUUAAUGCGACUCACUUUGUUAGAAACGUCAGUCGGCCUGCAAGCGCCAUUAUCAUCACGUUGUGUCUCUUCCCAAAAAAAAAAAAGAAAAGACCACAUCGCCAAAUGGAAAAUGUGCAGACACGCCGGCAGCAGCUCCCCUUCUUUAACUCCACCCCCCCUAGAGAAAUGUGUCCAAAAAUGCACGAAAAUAAAGAUAAAACAUGACAGGCAGUUCACAUUCGGUCAUUUAUAAUAAGCCAAAUAUGAACGGGACCGCAUGUGCCAGAGACUUUCUUCUCUUCCUUUCUUCUCACUUCUUCUCUUUUGCUUUUGGCGGAUUUGUCUUAGUCUCAGGUUACACUCUCUGACUGGAUAAAAUAUUAACUUUGGGUCCUUUGAAAUAAAUAACUUACAGAGACCAGUAAAUCUAUAGA